This is a long non-coding RNA of Pan troglodytes (chimpanzee), 1000 nucleotides long. RefSeq lists it as uncharacterized. The transcript has 2 exons. Lineage: Eukaryota; Metazoa; Chordata; Mammalia; Primates; Hominidae. The record is from RefSeq and is a predicted model, not a curated record.
AAUAUCUGUGAGCAGGGAGGCAGCUAGCCCAUGCAGUACCCCUGUAGGAAAAAGGAAAUGGUGCUCUCCAGGCAAGACCGCUUACAAAAAGGCACCUCUUCAGGCUAACACAGCCCUUAGCUCUGGACCAAGUGAGCCCAGAGCCUGUGCUGAGCAACAACCUGGGUGGGCAGCCCUGUGUGUGAGCAUAAUGGGCUGUACUGGAAACAAUGAAUUCAGGAUAUUCCAGUUACUAUGGCUGCAUAACAAACUAUGCCAAAACUCAGUGGCUUAAAACAAUAACAUCAUUUAUUUUGCUCAGAAAUCUGCAGAUUGGACAGGGCUCAGCAGGGAUAGGUUCUCUGUGCUCACUCAGCAUAAGCUGGGACAGCUUGCAGGCUGAGGCCUGAAGUCAUGUGAAGGCUCUCUCUCACGCAUCUGGUGGUUGAUGCUGGCUGAUGGCUGAGAUUCAAGCUGGCGUGCCUGCCAGAGCACUCACAGAUGCUUCUCCAUGUCACCUGGGCUUCCUUCCAACAUGGCGGCUGGUGUUCCAUAGACAAGGCAACAGAGGCCAGAGGAGGUUCAGUGACGCACCCAGGGCCACAUAACCAGUGAAUGUUGGGGAUCAGAUUAGAGUGCCCACGUCUCCAGCCUCCUUCUGCCAUUGACACCAUCCAUCGACCAUCCGGGCAAGACCCCCGCACCGCCCCCAAGGGCGCAGGCUAGAUUUCACUGCCAAGCCAAUAAGGUCAGCAACAGCACUUAUGGUGCUGGACCAUAAAUGAAACAAGCUUUGAGAGCUAACUGCCACCCCAGAGGCCUCAGGGAGGAGGUGGCUGCCCUCAAAGGCUCAGUCUCGUAUUCUGUAACCUCUCUACCCUGAAGAGGAUCCCACCAGCUGCCUCUUCUUCCAGAUCCUGCCAAGAAUUAGGCAUCUCCCAACCCCACUCCUGGGCCCCUUCUCCACAUUCUCCCUGCCAAUCAUCCCCUUUAAACUAAUAAAAAACGGUGAAUAAUUUUC